Molecule: ribosomal RNA, 253 nt
Filed under: uncultured bacterium
Lineage: Bacteria
Description: partial 16S ribosomal RNA
Rfam family: Bacterial small subunit ribosomal RNA
Source: RNAcentral
UACGUAGGGGGCAAGCGUUGUCCGGAAUCAUUGGGCGUAAAGAGCGUGUAGGCGGUCCGGUCAGUCGGAUGUGAAAUCCCUCGGCUCAACCGAGGAACUGCAUCCGAUACUGGCGGGCUUGAAUCCGGGAGAGGGAUGUGGAAUUCCAGGUGUAGCGGUGAAAUGCGUAGAUAUCUGGAAGAACACCCGUGGCUAAGGCGGCUCUCUAGUACGGUACUGACGCUGAGACGCGAAAGCGUGGGGAGCGAACAGG